UGGUAAAAGAGUAAUACCUUUCACUUCAUCCAUCUCUUGAUAUCCAAGGCCAUGUAGAAGAGAUCGUAGAAGACGGUGUUCGAAGAAGCCCCAAUUGAGAACCAGCACCAGGGGAAGGAACGCCUCCCAGACCACCUGCUUCNUCUCCGCAUCCCCUGNAGCCUCGCCACUGUCGUUNCCACCAUCUCCACACGGUGAAGGCUAGGGUUUCAAGAUAAGGCNAACGCGAAAGAGACAUGCAUAGUGGAGACUAAGGUUUUAAGGGUUUAAGUGAAAGAGAUUGAUUUUCUAAGGAGAAGAAACACAAGGUGGAGUGAAGGUUUAAGAGAGAAGAGAUGCAGUGAAGGUUCGAGAGAGAAGAGGUGAAGUGAGGUGAAUUUGGGAUGUGAGAGACGGAAGCUCGAGAGAAGGUUCGAGUGAGGUGAAUUAGGAUCGACAUUUUCAGUAAAAGGGAUUAACCAAAAUUCAAUUUCUUUUAAAAAUAAUUUUUUAGAUCCGUAU
This 501-nucleotide long non-coding RNA is filed under the name Vigna radiata. Its description in RNAcentral is "long non-coding RNA (VRAD_LNC001234)". Lineage: Eukaryota; Viridiplantae; Streptophyta; Magnoliopsida; Fabales; Fabaceae. The record is from RNAcentral.